UCAUGAAGCUGGAAUUGCUAGUAAUGGCAGGUCAGCAUACUGCCGUGAAUACGUUCCCGGGCCUUGUACACACCGCCCGUCACACCAUGAGAGUUGGGAAUACCCGAAGCCUGUGAGCUAACUUUUAGAGGCAGCAGUCGAAGGUAGAAUCAAUNAUUGGGGUGAAGUCGUAACAAGGUAAC
Molecule: ribosomal RNA, 182 nt
Filed under: uncultured bacterium
Lineage: Bacteria
Description: partial 16S ribosomal RNA
Rfam family: Bacterial small subunit ribosomal RNA
Source: RNAcentral